AUGGAGCUGGUGCUGACCUGGAUUUUGCUUCUUGCUAUUUUAAAAGGUGUCCUGUGUGAGGUGCAGUUGGUGGAGUUUGAGGGAGGCUUAGUGCAGCCGAGGGAAUCCCUGAGACUCUCCUGUGUGACCUCAGGAUUCACCUUCAGUGGUUAUAACAUGAACCGGAUCCACCAAGCUCCAGGGAAGAGGCCGGAGUGGAUCUCAUGGAUUAGCUAUGGUGGUAGGAACAAAUACUAUGCAGACUCUGUGAAGGGCCGAUUCACCAUCUCCAGGGACAACGGCAAGAAUACGCUGUAUUUGCACUUGAGCAGCCUGAGACUCGAGGACACAGUCGUUUAUUACUGUGAGAGAGACAGUGAGCCCAGUGUGAGCCCAAAAACCUCCGUGCUUGGGCUCUUACGGCCAGCAGGUGUCCAGUGUGAGGUGCAGCUGGUACAGUUCAGGAGGACAGGCUGCAGCCAGGGGUGCAUCCCUGAGACUCACGUGCAGCCCCUGGAUUCACCUUCUGUGACCUCUGGGUGA
Molecule: non-coding RNA, 522 nt
Organism: Cavia porcellus (domestic guinea pig)
Lineage: Eukaryota; Metazoa; Chordata; Mammalia; Rodentia; Caviidae
Source: the annotation of a RefSeq genome assembly